UUUUAUGAGAGUUUGAUCCUGGCUCAGGAUGAACGCUGGCGGCGUGCCUAACACAUGCAAGUCGAGCGAGAAAUAGGGAAGCUGCGGUUUCGACCAAAGCAUCUCUAUGGAAAGCGGCGGACGGGUGAGUAACGCGUAGGCAACCUGCCCACAGGAGAGGGACAGCCUCGGGAAACCGGGAUUAAAACCUCAUAACACGGAAAGUCC
This 207-nucleotide ribosomal RNA is filed under the name Eubacteriales Family XIII. Incertae Sedis bacterium. Its description in RNAcentral is "partial 16S ribosomal RNA". It matches the Rfam family "Bacterial small subunit ribosomal RNA", at positions 1 to 188 of the family's 1533-position model. Lineage: Bacteria; Bacillati; Bacillota; Clostridia; Peptostreptococcales; Anaerovoracaceae. The record is from RNAcentral.